RNAcentral lists this ribosomal RNA (254 nucleotides) under uncultured bacterium. Its description in RNAcentral is "partial 16S ribosomal RNA". It matches the Rfam family "Bacterial small subunit ribosomal RNA", at positions 524 to 776 of the family's 1533-position model. The record is from RNAcentral. RNAcentral also lists the same sequence under 1 other name.
UACGUAGGGACCAAGCGUUGUUCGGAUUUACUGGGCGUAAAGGGCGCGUAGGCGGCGCUGUAAGUCACUUGUGAAAUCUCCGGGCUUAACUCGGAACGGUCAAGUGAUACUGCAGUGCUAGAGUGCAGAAAGGGCAAUCGGAAUUCUUGGUGUAGCGGUGAAAUGCGUAGAUAUCAAGAGGAACACCUGAGGCGAAGGCGGGUUGCUAGGCUGACACUGACGCUGACAGCGCGAAAGCCAGGGGAGCAAACGGG